UGGCUCAGAUGGUAAAGCGUCUGUCUACAACGCAGGAGACCUGGGUUCGAUUCCUGG
Molecule: transfer RNA, 57 nt
Filed under: Ovis aries (sheep)
Lineage: Eukaryota; Metazoa; Chordata; Mammalia; Artiodactyla; Bovidae
Rfam family: tRNA
About the family: Transfer RNA (tRNA) molecules are approximately 80 nucleotides in length.
Source: Rfam by way of RNAcentral